This is a long non-coding RNA of Girardinichthys multiradiatus, 706 nucleotides long. RefSeq lists it as uncharacterized. Lineage: Eukaryota; Metazoa; Chordata; Actinopteri; Cyprinodontiformes; Goodeidae. The record is from RefSeq and is a predicted model, not a curated record. The transcript has 2 exons.
AGCAGUAAACUGACAGAUAAACAGUGCCAGAUUAUUGAAAGACACUGUGAGUAAAUGUCCAGCGGCCCGUCAAUGUCUGCCUGAUCUUCAUCUCGUUUUUGCCCCUCGGAUUUCUCUGCUCUGCCUUGCCCGCAUUGGAUCCUUCACUGGCUUCUGGACACCAACCUUGCUCCUGACUACUGCUUUCUGCCUCUCCUUCGGAUCCUGUCGCCUGUUUCUGCUUCCCAAGUUCUGACCUAGUUUUCGCCCCCUGACCACCGCACUCUGUCUCUUCACUGGGAUUACAAACCUGAGAGCCCGUGUGACGUUAUCCUGCUGUCACCUAACCACUGCACUAAGGGACUGAAAUUCACCUUCUGUAUUCUCCCACGGAUUCUGAAAAGCCGGCGUGGCUCCGCUCCAUUCAGUCUCACUCUACUUCACAUGGAUCCAGUUGUGUUGGGGAGAGGGGGAGGUUGAGACACUGCUGUCUGGACUGGUGCAGAUCCAACAUUUGCCUGAACAAUUGUGUGUUUUAUUAGGAAGUUUUUGUCUCAGCCAUGGCAAGGACAAGGACUUUAAGCGCAAAACCGUGAACUUUUGAACGGGGUCUUCCACCCAUUUCAUCCAAUGAAGGCAGUCUGAUUAUGGGCAGCUGCUCUCUGCCUCCUGCAUCAUCCCGCAGAUGGUGGUUCGCUUAAGGACCAUCAAUAAAUUUCCAAAACUA